UUCUCUAAUUAUAGUUUUUAGCCACUUAAACACGUAAAAAUUAUUAUGAGACUUGAACUCUUGUAUAAUUCUGAAAAUCAAACUUUUUUGAAAGAAUUCGGAGCUGACAAUAGAAAUUUAGCAACAAACAAGAUCUUAAACCAGCCUAAUGACUUUGUUUUAAGACUCUAUUCCAAAAAAAUAAUUAUUUGAUUAUUUUGUUGUCGACCUACAUGCAAAUAUCAUAAUAAAAGGAAUGUCUCAACUUACAAUGCAAUAGUGAAUUCAGCAUCCGCAUCACUUUCGGUCAAAAAUAAAUUUCUAAUCAAAUGCUCUUCAAUCAGUAUGUAACUUAAGAUCUACCAACAAAUAUUAGUAUGUACAAGAAUUAGUACAAGUAUUAGCAUGCAUUUUUUUAAAAUAAAUAUUGGCAUAUAAUAUUAAUUAGUACUAAUUAUUACUAAUAUUAAACAACAUUACAAAAUCACUUCUGUAAAAUUUUUUUACCGAUUAACUUUUUAAAAGUACUUUAGAAAAUCGCUAUUCUGUCAGGCUAAGCCAAACGCUUUACAGUUUUUUACAAAAUCACCUUUUCAAAUCAAAAUUAAUUCUGUAAAAAUUAUUUUUCUAGAGUCUAAUGCAAACCAUAGUUAGUUAAUUCUCGAAUUAUUCGCAAAUUUUUGAAAUACCGAGUAAAACAGCCGUUUUCGUAUUUUUCCAAAAAAUUCGGCUCUUUUUGGGUAAAAAUAAUUAUUCGCGAAUUAAACGCGAUUUGCGAAUAAUUCGCCCCC
RNAcentral lists this long non-coding RNA (770 nucleotides) under Ananas comosus (pineapple). RNAcentral's name for it is "long non-coding RNA (ACOM_LNC020835)". Lineage: Eukaryota; Viridiplantae; Streptophyta; Magnoliopsida; Poales; Bromeliaceae. The record is from RNAcentral.